RNAcentral lists this ribosomal RNA (487 nucleotides) under uncultured bacterium. RNAcentral's name for it is "partial 16S ribosomal RNA". It matches the Rfam family "Bacterial small subunit ribosomal RNA", at positions 30 to 506 of the family's 1533-position model. The record is from RNAcentral.
AUUGAACGCUGGCGGCAGGCCUAACACAUGCAAGUCGAACGGUGGCACAGAGAGCUUGCUCUCGGGUGACGAGUGGCGGACGGGUGAGUAAUGUCUGGGAAACUGCCCGAUGGAGGGGGAUAACUACUGGAAACGGUAGCUAAUACCGCAUAAUGUCGCAAGACCAAAGAGGGGGACCUUCGGGCCUCUUGCCAUCGGAUGUGCCCAGAUGGGAUUAGCUUGUUGGUGAGGUAAUGGCUCACCAAGGCGACGAUCCCUAGCUGGUCUGAGAGGAUGACCAGCCACACUGGAACUGAGACACGGUCCAGACUCCUACGGGAGGCAGCAGUGGGGAAUAUUGCACAAUGGGCGCAAGCCUGAUGCAGCCAUGCCGCGUGUGUGAAGAAGGCCUUCGGGUUGUAAAGCACUUUCAGCGGGGAGGAAGGCAAUGCGGUUAAUAACCGUGUUGAUUGACGUUACCCGCAGAAGAAGCACCGGCUAACUCCGU